RNAcentral lists this ribosomal RNA (468 nucleotides) under uncultured bacterium. RNAcentral's name for it is "partial 16S ribosomal RNA". It matches the Rfam family "Bacterial small subunit ribosomal RNA", at positions 28 to 507 of the family's 1533-position model. The record is from RNAcentral.
GACGAACGCUGGCGGCGUGCUUAACACAUGCAAGUCGAACGGAAAGGCCCUGCUUUUGUGGGGUGCUCGAGUGGCGAACGGGUGAGUAACACGUGAGUAACCUGCCCUUGACUUUGGGAUAACUUCAGGAAACUGGGGCUAAUACCGGAUAGGAGCUCCUGCUGCAUGGUGGGGGUUGGAAAGUUUCGGCGGUUGGGGAUGGACUCGCGGCUUAUCAGCUUGUUGGUGGGGUAGUGGCUUACCAAGGCUUUGACGGGCAGCCGGCCUGAGAGGGUGACCGGCCACAUUGGGACUGAGAUACGGCCCAGACUCCUACGGGAGGCAGCAGUGGGGAAUAUUGCACAAUGGGCGGAAGCCUGAUGUAGCAACGCCGCGUGCGAGAUGACGGCCUUCGGGUUGUAAACCGCUUUCGCCUGUGACGAAGCGUGAGUGACGGUAAUGGGUAAAGAAGCACCGGCUAACUACGUG